UACGUAGGGGGCUAGCGUUGUCCGGAAUCAUUGGGCGUAAAGAGCGUGUAGGCGGCCCGGUAAGUCCGCUGUAAAAGUCAAAGGCUCAACCUUUGAAUGUCAGUGGAUACUGCCGGGCUAGAGUCCGGAAGAGGCGAGUGGAACUCCUGGUGUAGCGGUGGAAUGCGCAGAUAUCAGGAAGAACACCGGUGGCGAAGGCGGGUCUCUGGGCAGUAACUGACGCUGAGGAGCGAAAGCGUGGGGAGCGAACAGG
RNAcentral lists this ribosomal RNA (253 nucleotides) under uncultured bacterium. RNAcentral describes it as "partial 16S ribosomal RNA". It matches the Rfam family "Bacterial small subunit ribosomal RNA", at positions 524 to 776 of the family's 1533-position model. The record is from RNAcentral.